RNAcentral lists this ribosomal RNA (406 nucleotides) under uncultured bacterium. RNAcentral describes it as "partial 16S ribosomal RNA". It matches the Rfam family "Bacterial small subunit ribosomal RNA", at positions 30 to 526 of the family's 1533-position model. The record is from RNAcentral.
AUUGAACGCUGGCGGCAGGCCUAACACAUGCAAGUCGAACGAGUGGCGGACGGGUGAGUAAUGUCUGGGAAACUGCCCGAUGGAGGGGGAUAACUACUGGAAACGGUAUCUAAUACCGCAUACCAUCGGAUGUGCCCAGAUGGGAUUAGCUAGUAGGUGGGGUAACGGCUCACCUAGGCGACGAUACCUAGCUGGUCUGAGGGGAUGACAAGCAACACUGGAACUGAGACACGGACCAGACGCCUACGAGAGGCAGCAGUGGGGAAUAUUGCACAAUGGGAGCAAGCCUGAUGCAGCCAUGCCGCGUGUAUGAAGAAGGCAUACGGGUUGUAAAGUACUUUAAGCGAGGAGGCGUUACUCGCAGAAGAAGCACCGGCGAACUCCGUGCCAGCAGCCGCGGUAAUUC